GACGUAGGGCGCGAGCGUUGUCCGGAUUUAUUGGGCGUAAAGAGCUCGUAGGCGGUUUGUCGCGUCUGCUGUGAAAACCUAAGGCUCAACCUUGGGCUUGCAGUGGGUACGGGCAGACUAGAGUGUGGUAGGGGAGACUGGAAUUCCUGGUGUAGCGGUGGAAUGCGCAGAUAUCAGGAGGAACACCGAUGGCGAAGGCAGGUCUCUGGGCCAUUACUGACACUGAGAAGCGAAAGCAUGGGGAGCGAACAGG
RNAcentral lists this ribosomal RNA (253 nucleotides) under uncultured bacterium. RNAcentral describes it as "partial 16S ribosomal RNA". It matches the Rfam family "Bacterial small subunit ribosomal RNA", at positions 524 to 776 of the family's 1533-position model. The record is from RNAcentral.